AAAUUGAGAGUUUGAUCCUGGCUCAGGAUGAACGCUGGCGGCGUGCCUAAUACAUGCAAGUCGAACGCUUUGUGGUUCAACUGAUUUGAAGAGCUUGCUCAGAUAUGACGAUGGACAUUGCAAAGAGUGGCGAACGGGUGAGUAACACGUGGGAAACCUACCUCUUAGCAGGGGAUAACAUUUGGAAACAGAUGCUAAUACCGUAUAACAAUGACAACCGCAUGGUUGUUAUUUAAAAGAUGGUUCUGCUAUCACUAAGAGAUGGUCCCGCGGUGCAUUAGCUAGUUGGUAAGGUAAUGGCUUACCAAGGCGAUGAUGCAUAGCCGAGUUGAGAGACUGAUCGGCCACAAUGGGACUGAGACACGGCCCAUACUCCUACGGGAGGCAGCAGUAGGGAAUCUUCCACAAUGGGCGAAAGCCUGAUGGAGCAACGCCGCGUGUGUGAUGAAGGGUUUCGGCUCGUAAAACACUGUUAUAAGAGAAGAAUGACAUUGAGAGUAACUGUUCAAUGUGUGACGGUAUCUUACCAGAAAGGAACGGCUAAAUACGUGCCAGCAGCCGCGGUAAUACGUAUGUUCCAAGCGUUAUCCGGAUUUAUUGGGCGUAAAGCGAGCGCAGACGGUUAUUUAAGUCUGAAGUGAAAGCCCUCAGCUCAACUGAGGAAUUGCUUUGGAAACUGGAUGACUUGAGUGCAGUAGAGGAAAGUGGAACUCCAUGUGUAGCGGUGAAAUGCGUAGAUAUAUGGAAGAACACCAGUGGCGAAGGCGGCUUUCUGGACUGUAACUGACGUUGAGGCUCGAAAGUGUGGGUAGCAAACAGGAUUAGAUACCCUGGUAGUCCACACCGUAAACGAUGAGUGCUAGGUGUUUGAGGGUUUCCGCCCUUAAGUGCCGCAGCUAACGCAUUAAGCACUCCGCCUGGGGAGUACGACCGCAAGGUUGAAACUCAAAGGAAUUGACGGGGACCCGCACAAGCGGUGGAGCAUGUGGUUUAAUUCGAAGCAACGCGAAGAACCUUACCAGGUCUUGACAUCCCUUGACAACUCCAGAGAUGGAGCGUUCCCUUCGGGGACAAGGUGACAGGUGGUGCAUGGUUGUCGUCAGCUCGUGUCGUGAGAUGUUGGGUUAAGUCCCGCAACGAGCGCAACCCUUAUUACUAGUUGCCAGCAUUCAGUUGGGCACUCUAGUGAGACUGCCGGUGACAAACCGGAGGAAGGUGGGGAUGACGUCAAAUCAUCAUGCCCCUUAUGACCUGGGCUACACACGUGCUACAAUGGCGUAUACAACGAGUUGCCAACCCGCGAGGGUGAGCUAAUCUCUUAAAGUACGUCUCAGUUCGGAUUGUAGGCUGCAACUCGCCUACAUGAAGUCGGAAUCGCUAGUAAUCGCGGAUCAGCACGCCGCGGUGAAUACGUUCCCGGGUCUUGUACACACCGCCCGUCACACCAUGAGAGUUUGUAACACCCAAAGCCGGUGGGGUAACCUUCGGGAGCCAGCCGUCUAAGGUGGGACAGAUGAUUAGGGUGAAGUCGUAACAAGGUAGCCGUAGGAGAACCUGCGGCUGGAUCACCUCCUUUCUAAGGAA
Molecule: ribosomal RNA, 1584 nt
Filed under: Weissella confusa
Lineage: Bacteria; Bacillati; Bacillota; Bacilli; Lactobacillales; Lactobacillaceae
Description: bacterial SSU rRNA
Rfam family: Bacterial small subunit ribosomal RNA
Source: RNAcentral